Non-coding RNA from Mycobacterium sp. 1245111.1, 370 nucleotides. NCBI's taxonomy places the organism in Bacteria, Bacillati, Actinomycetota, Actinomycetes, Mycobacteriales, Mycobacteriaceae. The record is from Rfam.
GGGGCUGAACGGUUUCGACUUCGCGCAUCGAAUCAAGGGAAGCGUGCCGGUGCAGGCAAGAGACCACCGUAAGCGUCGUUGCAACCAAUUAAGCGCCGUUUCAACACAGCGCGACUACGCACUCGCUGCCUAAGCGACUGCGUGUCUGUCAGACCGGGAGCGCCCUCGGCCCGGACCCUGGCAUCAGCUAGAGGGACCCACCCACGGGUUCGGUCGCGGGGCCCGUGGGGACACCAAACAGCGACUGGGAUCGUCAUCUCGAACUUGUUCGCGUGAUCGAGAGAUCCGAGUAGAGGCAUAGCGAACUGCGCACGGAGAAGUCUUGAGGGAAUGCCGUAGGACCCGGGUUCGAUUCCCGGCAGCUCCACUA